This 413-nucleotide ribosomal RNA is filed under the name uncultured soil bacterium. RNAcentral's name for it is "bacterial SSU rRNA". It matches the Rfam family "Bacterial small subunit ribosomal RNA", at positions 26 to 439 of the family's 1533-position model. The record is from RNAcentral.
AGGACGAACGCUGGCGGCGUGCUUAACACAUGCAAGUCGAACGGUGAAGGAGAGCUUGCUCUCUGGAUCAGUGGCGAACGGGUGAGUAACACGUGAGUAACCUGCCCUUGACUCUGGGAUAAGCGUUGGAAACGACGUCUAAUACCGGAUACGAGCUUCAGUCGCAUGGCUAGGAGCUGGAAAGAAUUUCGGUCAAGGAUGGACUCGCGGCCUAUCAGCUAGUUGGUGAGGUAAUGGCUCACCAAGGCGACGACGGGUAGCCGGCCUGAGAGGGUGACCGGCCACACUGGGACUGAGACACGGCCCAGACUCCUACGGGAGGCAGCAGUGGGAAUAUGGCACAAUGGGCGCAAGCCUGAUGCAGCAACGCCGCGGUGGGGACGUAACGGCCGUUCGGUGUAAACCGUCGUUUA